This 3005-nucleotide long non-coding RNA is filed under the name Phocoena sinus (vaquita). RNAcentral's name for it is "lncRNA (ENSPSNG00000009936.1)". The record is from RNAcentral. Lineage: Eukaryota; Metazoa; Chordata; Mammalia; Artiodactyla; Phocoenidae.
GAACCGGAUGAGGCUUGCUGCUCCAGUGCCCGCAGCGCGGGGGAAAUGGCCACGGGAACAGACCAGGUGGUGGGACUCGGCCUCGUCGCCGUUAGCCUGAUCAUCUUCACCUAUUACACCGUCUGGGUGAUUCUCUUGCCAUUCAUCGACAGUCAGCAUGUCAUCCACAAGUAUUUCCUGCCCCAAGCCUAUGCCGUUGCCAUCCCACUGGCUGCCGGCCUCCUGCUGCUCCUGUUUGUGGGCGUGUUCAUCACCUACGUGAUGCUGAAGAAUCAGAAGGUGACCAAAAAGGCUCAGUGAAGGCCCAGCACGGAUGAGGCUGCCGGCGCCUUCUCUGCUUCUUCUCCAGGGCAGACCAAGGGUGGGGGCCCAGAGGACCCAUCCAGGCACUGAGGGCCCCUCAAGCCUGGCUACCCUGCAGACACCCUUGUGGGAUGGAGCUGCUCAGGACUCACCCCUGACUGACCAGAGCCCCUGCUCACCCUUCCAGAAGCCAGGAGGGAGGAGUCCCUGGAAGUCUCGCUCUCACCCUCUUCAGGUUCAGGACCUGGAAAACGCCGGUCCUCCCCACCUCACUUUUCAGACUCCCUGUCGCUUUUUCCUCUGGCUUCUACACUCUUGCCUCAGUUUCCCUCAUGUCACAUGCUGUUGCUGGACUUGGCAGGUUCUGGGGCGUCACGAGACCUCUCCCCCCAUGUCCUGCUCCUCCACAAAGGCAGCUUUCCCGGGUCUGACAUACCCCAGACCCCACAGGGAUUUCUGGACCUGGAAAGCCUAGGGGGAGGCCUGACAGGCCCCAGAGCCCAUUAGGGUGGCCACACGGGGGGCCCCUGGAUUGACCGCUUCUCACGGAGGCCCAGCCCCCCAGCCUCAGUGCUGGCCUGUUGGGGAGAGCUGAACAAUAAACGGUGGUGGUGUGUUUGUCUCAGUGCCGUCCCUGACCAGGGGGCUGGGCCGCUCAGGGGCUGGAGAGGGGCUGGGCGCGGCCUCUGCGUUGGUCUCGGGUCGGGAGACCCUGGUGUGUGCAGUUGGUGCCUCAGAUGCCUCCUGGAUCAUCUGUGUGCUGGACACAGGAUAAAGCAGGGACCGGGACCGGGACUGAUGCGGGUCUGGCCUGGUGCAGCUGAUGGCUGGGGGGUCUGUGGGGGCACGGCAAUCUGCCAGACGCCACAUCAGCCUCUACCAGGUCUCCCCCGUGCCAGCCUAGACAGCUGGCACUGGUAUUUUACGGACCCUCAGGCUAGUCCCCGAAAAGCCAAGCCUGUCAUCUGUCUCUUGUACCCCGCAGCCCAACUUAGCGUGGCUCUGAGCAGAGGGCUGUUAUGAGCCAGAGCAGGGCUGGUUCCACUGUGUUCAGGUUAACCGGCACAGGCCCCAGCCUUAGUCCCUGGCAUCCCACCAUGCCCCACUGGGCAGCCAGCUCUCCCAUUCACAGUGUGAGCCUCCACCCCUCACACCUUGGACAUUCAUUUUUCCUCCGUUAGCAAAGGUGUCCCCCUCAUCAGAGAAGAGAGACCAACUGCAGGCGCACCUGCCCUGUCCUUACCUGUCUCUCUCUCCAUCUUCCAGUCCAGGCAGAGCUGCCCACCUGGACUCUGGGUCCUGUCCUCUCCCACUGCUAUAGCAGGAGCCUCCUGUCUGAUGAUCCCUCUCAAGGGAACAGCCUCUGCCUUUCAACAAGGUCCCCCAGUGUUAAAUGAACAUGUUACGGGCUCCGUUUAAGGGACCCUCCAUCAACCCAGUAAUUCCCUCCGGGUCUCUCCCGCACUUUCCCCUCCACAGCCAAACUUCCCAAAAGGGUAUCCACACCUGCUUCCUGCAUUUCCUCACCCCUGCUGUGCGUGGCAGCAUUCCAGGUGGGCUGCGCUCACCACCCGUGAUGUGCAGUCUUUAAAUCCAAAGCACAUUUCCUUGACCCCUCUGCUACAUUUGGCCGGUGACCUCCCCCCGGGACACCCUCAGACGCUGGAUGACCCGUUCUCCUACUUUAUGCUCUCUCUGGCACUCAUGCUCCUCUGCCCUGAGAGGGUGGGUUCCUCGGGACUCAUCACAGGCUGUUUCACCCCACACUCUUCUGGGUGACCUCAUCCUUACCCAGGCUCACCUCUAGCCCAGCUUUCUUCUGAGCCCCAAAGUACUGCACGUGCACCAGCUGCCCACCUGAGAUCCCCAUCGGCUGUUGUAGUGACACCUCAAAUCCAUCCUGUCAUGAUCUGAAUUCUCAGACUUACCCAGUCUCCCCCCGCACAAAUCUGGCUCUCCCGUCGUGCCCUGCCUUAGCAUCAUCAUCCUGUAUCCCUGACCCACAGCCAGAAGCCUGGCAGACAUCACUGACCUUGGCUUUCCUCUUCCACCCCCCGAUCCACAUGACCCCAAAUCCUGUCAAUUCUCCCCUUACCCCGUCACCUUCCAGAUACAAAGCCACUGUCCCCUGCCCUAAAUCACCAAAGGCUUCCUCACUGCUCUCCCCUGCCCACAAUGGCCCGCUCCAAUCUGACUGCACUACAACCAGUGGCCUUUUGAAAACAUCUGAGCAUCUUUUCUUUUUUUAAUUUUUAGCUGCACCACGCUGCACGCGGGAUCUUAUUUCCCCAACCAGGGAUCGAACACGCACCCCCUGCAGUGGAAGUGCAGACUCUUAACCACUGGACUGCCAGGGAAGUCCCUGAGCUUUUUUUUUUUUCUUUUUCUGAGAAUCUUUCUCACACACUUACAAUGCUUCUCUGGGUUCCUGUCCCCCUCCCUCCCAUGGCCGGCCGACAAGAGCCUGCAUGCUUGCUUGAGCUCUCCUCACUCCAGUCACACUGGCCUUUCAUUUCCUGGGACUCACUGAGGUUCUCUGCACAUCCUACUCACAUUGGUUCAGCAUGUACUUCUCAAACACUGGUUUGUGCAAGGUACUGAGCCAGGGAAGGAGCCUGGCAUGGUUCCUGCCCUCCUGGCACUCCCACUCUGGGUGGGGGAGGGGAGAUAUAAUAAACAAAUAAAUGAACAAGACAGUCUCU